RNAcentral lists this small RNA (112 nucleotides) under Marmota monax (woodchuck). Lineage: Eukaryota; Metazoa; Chordata; Mammalia; Rodentia; Sciuridae. The record is from RNAcentral.
GCCAGGCAUGGUGGUGUCUACCCGUAGUCCCCGCUACUCAGGAGGCCAAGGCAGGAGAAAAACUUGAGCCCAGGAGUCUGAGGCCAGCCUGGGCAACAUAGUGAGACUCAAU